GUGCUUGCUUCAGCAGCACGUGUACUAAAAUUGGAACGACAAAGAGAAGAUUGGCAUGGUCCCUGAGCCAGGAUGGCAUGUGAAUUUGGGAAGCAUUCUGUACUUUC
Hyaena hyaena (striped hyena) is the source of this 107-nucleotide small nuclear RNA. The record is from RefSeq and is a predicted model, not a curated record. NCBI's taxonomy places the organism in Eukaryota, Metazoa, Chordata, Mammalia, Carnivora, Hyaenidae.